UGGGGAAUAUUGGACAAUGGGCGAAAGCCUGAUCCAGCCAUGCCGCGUGUGUGAAGAAGGUCUUCGGAUUGUAAAGCACUUCAAGUUGGGAGGAAGGGCAGUAAGCGAAUACCUUGCUGUUUUGACGUUACCGACAGAAUAAGCACCGGCUAACUCUGUGCCAGCAGCCGCGGUAAUACAGAGGGUGCAAGCGUUAAUCGGAAUUACUGGGCGUAAAGCGCGCGUAGGUGGUUCGUUAAGUUGAAUGUGAAAGCCCCGGGCUCAACCUGGGAACUGCAUCCAAAACUGGCGAGCUAGAGUAGGGCAGAGGGUGGUGGAAUUUCCUGUGUAGCGGUGAAAUGCGUAGAUAUAGGAAGGAACACCAGUGGCGAAGGCGACCACCUGGGCUCAUACUGACACUGAGGUGCGAAAGCGUGGGGAGCAAACAGG
RNAcentral lists this ribosomal RNA (429 nucleotides) under Pseudomonadota bacterium. RNAcentral's name for it is "Proteobacteria bacterium partial 16S ribosomal RNA". It matches the Rfam family "Bacterial small subunit ribosomal RNA", at positions 355 to 776 of the family's 1533-position model. Lineage: Bacteria; Pseudomonadati; Pseudomonadota. The record is from RNAcentral.